GCGGGCACAGUAAUAUAUAGCUGUGUCUGCAGCUGUCACAGAUCUCAGCUCCAGGUCGUAUGUAUUUCUGGAGGCAUCGGCAGUCACAGUGAUUCGACCUUGGAGAUAUGGGCUGUAGAAUAAUCUCCAUUUGCUGCUAGACCAGUCGAUCUGGCCCAUCCAUUCCAGGCCUUUUCCGGGAGCCUGUCGGACCCAUUCCCAGAAAUUAUUUUUGACAGAAUCCCCAGAAAUGACCCAUUCCCAGAAAUUAUUUUUGACAGUGCAGGUUAGUCUCAGGGACCCUCCAGGAUUCACAAUCCUUGGUCCAGAUUCCAUAAGUUGGACACUGCAGUGGACAUCUAAGGACAACAACAAGACUUUCAUUACCAUGCAAUUUGUGCAUCUGUAAUAUUUGAUUUUUAAAAAAAUGUUUAUCUGGAAGAUACUCACACAGCGGCACUGCUAACAAAGACAGUAAAAGAAAGGGGGCCUUCAUUGUUUGCAGAGAGAAACUCCUCUCUCUGGAUUAACAACUAAUUUGGUCCAGCUGAGGAUCUGAAGACUUGGUGUGGGUAGAGCUAUUUAAAUAGAAAGCUUUUUAGAAAGGGAUUUGCAUCAACUUUGCAUCUAGUGGUGGGAAUCAGAUAAAGAGAGAUGCUCUAAACUGUGAAUAUGCUCAGAGCACUGCCUCCACCAGUGGGAAGUGGGUCCAUCAUUUAAAGAAGUCAUCUGGGCCACACACACCCUUUUAUGGGUCCCUUGCUUUCCCACUAUCAGAAAGCAGCAGGAGGAGAAAUUUUUACAAGUUCUCAUCUUGGCUGGGGCCACACUCUGCCAAUGUGAACCAUCCUGUGCUUUUCGGAUGAGCAGUGGUGUAGAAAUUUGAUAAUAUUAGUUAUCUAGGAGAGCUCUGGAAACAGAUGGAAAGAUUAGCAGGAUUUUAAUCCCGCUUGUGAUGUAACAAAUACCAUGAAUAAUUUGGAUUGAAUUAAAAUAUAGUGUAUGGAAUAACAUGAAUAUUUAAAUGUAGAAAUAGGACCCAUCGAGAGUGUGGGGGGAAGUUGUGAGAUUCAGAGUAAUCUCUACGUAUGGAUACGUAUUUGGAUUGUUCUAAUUUUAUAUUGGUAAAAUCAUAUAAAAAUGAGUUUGAAAAAGAAAAGAAAAGAGAGAUUAUCUAAACUGAGAAUAUGCUCAAAGCACUGCUGAGCCUGUUCCUUCAUUUAAAGAAGCCCUCCCAGCGACACACACCCUUUUAUGGGUUCCUUACUUUCUCACCACCAGAAAUAAGCAGGAAGAGGAAUUUUUACAAGCCCUUAUCUUGGCUGGGGCCAUCCUCUGCCAUCGUGAGCCAUCUUGUGAUUUUUGGAUGAGAGGCAGUGUAGAAAUUUGAUAUUAGAUUUAAAAAUAAAUAAGUGAAAGUCAGAGGCGUAGGAAGGUCAGGUGGUACCCGGUGCGAAAAAUUUCUUGUCACCCCCCCCACAUUGAUCUCCCCCUCCCUGCAAAAAUGGUUUUAUGUUAUUUCAUAUUUUCUUACAAAGGAAUAAUAAGAAGUAAUAAUAAUGAUAAACUUUUAUUUUUAUCCUGCCCUCCACGGCUGAAGUCGGGCUCAGGGCGGCUAACAUAAGUUACAGAACAUUGGUAUAAAAUCAAACAAUAAUUAAAUUACCUCCUGAAAACAUGUCAAAAUUAAAUUAAAGUCUACUUACCUGGCUUUCCAAAGGGUUAGGGUUGGGAACAGUAAGUGCUCCACUGAAUUGAAAUUUCAGCCUUCACGACAUAGGAAAAUGGCCAGGUAAACAGCUAUUUUCAUGGAGGAGAGUCAAGAUAUUAAUUUGACCCUCAUUUAUAGCUAUACAAUCCCUAGUGUAGUAAGAUAAGACCUUUGGAGCAGGCAUUUUUUUAAAAAAAGUUUUUUUAUGAACCGCCCUAGUAGGGCAGUAAUUGUUCCUUGAUCAUUGGUCACCCCCCUCCAUGAUGCAACCUGGGGCGGCCCCCCCUUCCUACGCCCCUGGUAAAAGUGACCCUGAACAUUCCAUUUUGAACAGUAAGCAUGAUGCCUCAUUUGUGUCAGCAAAAUCAGUACAAUUUAUCUUGAAUUUAUCUUCCUUCUCCAAACUUCUUCAUUUAGUUAUUUGUGGCUGCAGCUGAACCAGUCCAGACACCUGGCAAAGGAAGGUUUUUGGCUGGCUUCAGAUUCACUUCCUUUCACUGUGUCUCUCUUGCACAGUAAUAUAGAGCCGUGUCCACGGAUUUCAGGUUGUUCAUUUGCAGAUACAGCAUGUUUGAAGGGUUGUUUCUGGAGAUGGUGAAGCGCCCUUUCACUGAGUCUACAUAAUGUUGCUGACUACCAUCAGACCAGAUUCUUGCAACCCAUUCCAGUCCCGUCCCAGGAGCCUGUUGCACCCAGUUCAUGGGAUCGCUGCUGAAGGUGAAUCCAGAAGCUCGACAGGAGAGACGGAGGGACUCUCCAGGUCUUUUGACAUCCCCUCCAGACUCUACCAGCUGGACUGCUGAUUGGACACCUAGAAAAGGAGGAAAGCCAUAUUUAAAGGAUCUGCUAAAUAUGAAGCCCUAUAUUAUACUAGUCAUCUUUGUUUAAAGCUGGAAUAAAAUUACCUCCCAAAAUUGCUGAAACAAAAAGAAACUGAAGCCAAAGUGUCAUGUUUAUCUCCCAAUUUUGUUCUGAGAGGAACUGACUGGAAAGUGGUUCAGCAGUUCUACCUCUGGGUGUGGGCUGGGCAGAGAGUGUGCUGCUGCUUUAAAGAGGAAGGUGCCGCUGCAUUUACAUGCAGCUCAGGAUAAAAGAGUAACACAGGUCUUUGACGGAGCAGAUCUGUUUAGCCUUAUACAAAACAUAUGACUUGCUGAUCCUUCAAUUGUUUUGUUUUCCAGUCAAGAAUUUACAAAAGCCCUCCUGUUUCCUGAUUUGAUCCCAGAAUGUCCCGCUUUUCCUUAGGAUUCAAACAAAAAAGGAAUUGGUCCCUGGCACCCGCCACACCUGCUGUCUUUAAGGGAAUCCUGAUACAGCUUCUCAACGUCCCCCAUCAGAUCAACAUUUAUUUAUUUAACCCGUAUUUAAUUUUAAAUUUGUUUUAAAAAUAAACGCUGUAAAUAAAGCUUUUGGACCACAUUUUUGUUUUGGGGUUUUUGUUUUUAUUUCAAUACAAAAGUGAGCUUUUAUUCAUCCAAAGGCUUCCAUGUGCCCAAUAUUAAUAAUAAUCUCAAUAAGACACAAAUGAUGAAUGACGGAAAGAGCAAAACUUAACACACCAGAAAUUAGCAGUGUGGGCUUUACUAUGUUUGUGGGAACAGACUUAGGCCGAGAUAGCUUGGUUCCACCUCUCGCUGUGUGCUACAGACAAGACUAGCCUUGCUGUGUGAUCACAGCAUGUGGCUGUCAGAUUAGUCAGUAAAUGGGAGGGUUUGUAUAACCCCAUUGAUUGAACUCACCUGCCUGUGCAUUGUGCCUUGGUUAAUUGGUUCAGGUUGUUGGAAUUGCAGAUACUAUUCUUUGAUAUAUUUUAAUGAAUCUCAUCCGUUUACUCUUAAAACAGUUUGACUCAAUACUUCUUUCCAGCCUUCAGAUUCACUUCCUCUCACUGUGUCUCCUGCACAGUAAUAAAGAGCCGUGUCCUCGGGUUUCAGGUUGUUCAUUUGCAGAUACAACAUGUUUGAUGGGUUGUUCCUGGAGAUGGUGAAACGCCCUUUCAUAGAGCUGGCAUAGUAUACUUCUCCUCUAUGUUGGUGUAUCCAUGCAACCCAUUCCAGUCCCUUCCCAGUAGCCUGUCUCACCCAGUGCAUGAAGUAGUUGCUGAAGGUAAAGCCAGAGCCUUGGCAUGAAAGACAGAGGGACUCCCCAGGCCUUUUGAUGUCCCCUCCAAAUUCCUGCAGUCGAACUGCUGAUUGAAAGCCUGUAAAGAAAGCAAUAUUAUAAAGCUUCCUGAACAUCAAUCAGCAAACUGUACAUGUCUCCUUACAUGCCAAAGAAAUAACAACACAACAAUAACUUCUGAAUAUUGCCAAAAAGCAAAUUAAUUGAAGUAAACGCAUCGUUCCCUGGUUGUUUUGGGAAAGGUUGCCUUGAAAGUGAUCCAAAUCACACAGGGGUUGCUGGUGUGGAUGGAGCUGGGGCAAAAGAGGGCUUGACUCCUUUAAACAGGAAGCUGUCCCUCCAUUUACAUACAGCUCAGGAUAAAAAGAGCAACACGUUGACAAUUUUGGUUCUGGUUUUGGUCAUACUGAUUUUUGCAGAGGUGGAUUGCAGGCAGCACAACUGGGUUUGCUGCACUUGGAGCUCAGCCUAGGGGUGCCACAGGAUGUACCACCUAUGAUAUAGUGAAUUGAGCAUAAUGGAAGGUGAGAGGUGAGGGCUGCCAAAUUUUGGCCUUACCCAGGGCCCCACUGAAAUUUGAAAGACAACAGUCUUCCCCUGAUUUUUGCACUUAUUUUAUCAUCAGGGUAUGGUGAUCUCAUCAAUUGUGCAUGUAUCCUUUAUCCAUAUUCUCAAAUAAAUUUCAUUGUACCUGGGUCAGUCUGCUAUAAAGUAUUGCUUAACUUAGAAGAAGAUCUAUGGUGUGACUCUUUAUACGUAACUUCUUUGCAUGUGAUUCAUAAAAAAGAUGUGUGUAUAUGUGCUUGUAUCAGUCUCUGUCUUAUGAACUCUCAAUGCCUUCAUGCCCUGUUUCACAAUUAGGGGUCUGGGGACCCCGGGGGUCCAUGGAAUGCACCUAGAACAGUGAUGGCCAAACGUGGCCCUCCAGCUGUUUUGGGACUACAUCUCCCAUCAUCCCUAGCUAACAGGACCAGUGGUCAGAGAUGAUGGGAAUUGUAGUCCCAAAACAGCUGGAGGACCACGUUUGGCCAUCACUGACCUAGAGGGUCUGCAGCCCUAUCCCUUGCCUCUCCCCAACUCUUUUGUUUGGACAUAUUUUCAUGGUAACAGUGUUUUUUUCUAAAAAAAUGUUUAGGGGUACUCUCCUUUUCCUACUCCUAUUGAAAUACUGCCCCUCAAUGAGGCCAAACUGAGCUUCACAAAAUGUUUAGGGGCAUGCGUACCCAUGUAUUCCACCUGGAAAAAAAGCACUGAAUGGUAAUAUUAUAAUUUUUAUGGUCUAUUUUAGCACUGUGCGAUUUUCAAUAUAUUGGUCAAAAUCGGUUUUGAAAUCACACUGUGAUGAUGAUUUUGACCCAGCAAUAUGCAGCAAUAUAUUGCUCCUUGCACAAGGGAGAGCAGGGUAGUCAGUUUCAAGGCACUGCCAAUAUCACAGGAUGAUCUCACACAUCUGAUGUCAACAUGCCCAUGGUGUAUGCAGACAUCACAUGCCUGGGCACAUUUUUGCAAGGAGGGGUUGGGUCUGACCCAGGGGUGAAGUGGAGGAGGCACAGGCAAUGGCAGCAAUGUUGCCGCCCCUCUCCUACAGUGGCUUCUGCUCUGGCUGAGAGUGGUGGCAGCAGCGCUGCUGCGGUGGUGCUCCUCUCCUGUACUGGGAGAGGAGUCUGACCCAGGAGGAGGAGAGAAGGAGUAGGGGGUGUUACUGCCCCUUUCUGCGGCUUGGCAGUGCCGCCCAAGGAUGUUGCCCAGGCAGCGUUCUCACCCUGGGCUGCAUCCAGUGGGAUCCCUUUGCACACACCCCCCCUUGGGGCCCUGGUGCAAUAAUUGUGGGUGCCCGACCACUUCAUGGGGAAUAUUGUGGGGGCUACAGCACCCAGCACCCUGCCACGUGGCGCCUAUGCCUCACACCGAAGGAAAACAGGACAGCUGGUUGUGGAGUGUUGCCUUUCCCUCACUCUGAUGGAUAACAGGACAGCUGAUCACUCUCACUUCAAGGCACCAUGGCACUACCUUCUCCUGGCACUGAGGCAGAGCUGCUUUUCUCAGUCAGCAGCAGCAGCCACAGUGGGCGUGCAUCUUCGCUGGCUGCUGCAGCUGUAUGCCCAGUUGAUGGUGGCUUGAUGCAUCCCCAAUCCCCUUCCAUGAGUUGCCACUCAGAUGUAUCAGGCCUAUCCAUUCCUGUUCAUUUCCAGGAACCUGUCAGAUCCAUUCUGAGAAAACAUUAUUGACAAAAUCUCAAGUGAUAGUGCAGAUUAGUCUCAGAGACUCCCCAGUAUUCACAGUCUCUGGUCCAGAUUCCACAAGCUGGACAUUGGUGUGGACAUCUAAGGCCAACAAGAAUACAUCUAUUACAGUAUAAUGUUUACAGAGAUUUGUAUCUCCCUUUCUGCUCCUUUUGGCGUAUGUGCCACAGAGCUGGGAAGUAUGUAAUAAAAUAGAAAUUCUGCCUAGUGUAUACAUUGGGAAAUGAUGGUUGGGGUGGUAAUGGCAAUGUUUCCUUGGUUCUAAAUAGAAAGUUGUGAGAAUGUCACCCAGGGAAUCAAACUCUCAUGCAGUUGAGGCAGCUGAGGAAACAAUAGCCUAACAGCUGUAACCACAAAACAUCACACUAGGCUUUAUUUUAGACUUUAUUUCUGUUUUGGUUGAUGGUUUCUUAGGCUUUAAAUCAUUGCUGCCCCCUUGUGAGAAACAGAAUUAAUUUUAGGAGAUGAUCCUACAUUUCAUCCCAGUAACAGAUGCCUCCAACUUUUUGUACAGUUUCUCCUUUGGUUUUUCUCACUGUGGUUCUCGGGCACAGUAAUACAUAGCCGUGUCUGCAGCUGUCACAGAUCUCAGCUCCAGGUCGUAUGUAUUUCUGGAGGCAUCAGCAGUCAGGGUGAUUCGGCCUUGGAGAGAUGGGCUGUAGUAUAAUCUCCAGUUGCUGCUAUACCAGUCUAUCUGGCCCAUCCAUUCCAGUCCUUUUCCGGGAGCCUGUCGGACCCAUUCCCAGUAACUAUUCUUGACAGAAUCCCCAGUGACAGUGCAGGUUAGUCUCAGGGACCCUCCAGGAUUCACAAUCCUUGGUCCAGAUUCCACAAGUUGGACACUGCAGUGGACAU
This 6909-nucleotide long non-coding RNA is filed under the name Podarcis lilfordi (Lilford's wall lizard). The record is from RNAcentral. Lineage: Eukaryota; Metazoa; Chordata; Lepidosauria; Squamata; Lacertidae.